UACGGAGGGUGCAAGCGUUGUCCGGAUUUAUUGGGUUUAAAGGGUGCGUAGGCGGCUUUUUAAGUCAGUGGUGAAAUCCUGCAGCUCAACUGUAGAAUUGCCAUUGAUACUGAGAAGCUUGAAUUCAGACGAGGUAGGCGGAAUUGACGGUGUAGCGGUGAAAUGCAUAGAUAUCGUCAAGAACACCGAUUGCGAAGGCAGCUUACUAGACUGACAUUGACGCUGAGGCACGAAAGCGUGGGGAUCAAACAGG
RNAcentral lists this ribosomal RNA (253 nucleotides) under uncultured prokaryote. Its description in RNAcentral is "partial 16S ribosomal RNA". It matches the Rfam family "Bacterial small subunit ribosomal RNA", at positions 524 to 776 of the family's 1533-position model. The record is from RNAcentral.